Molecule: long non-coding RNA, 6786 nt
Filed under: Jatropha curcas
Lineage: Eukaryota; Viridiplantae; Streptophyta; Magnoliopsida; Malpighiales; Euphorbiaceae
Description: long non-coding RNA (JCUR_LNC000436)
Source: RNAcentral
AUAGAUCAAUGUAGUUUUUAUUAUUUCAAUAUAAUAAUUGCUCAUGUGUUAUUUAAGAUGAAUAUAAUAGGUCACUGUUAAUAACAAAAUUGUUCACUAAUCAUAAUAACUUAUAUUUAUUAAUCUAAGUGAAAAAAGAAAAUUAGAAAAGAAAGUUGGCUAUCUUUUUGAGACAGAGAGGGUAUAUAUCUAUAUGUAUUAUAUAAUCCGAUCGAUAUACCUAUCAAAACUGAAUUCCUCCCUGAAUAUUUUAAAAAUGUACAUUACAUAUUUAAGAAUUAUCUUCAUUAUUCAUCAAACUUAAUUUUAAAAUUAUAGCAAACAAAUACAUAAAGAGUACACAUUUAUUGGCAACAAUCCAAAAAAGUUACACACAAACCACAAACCUAAUUAUUAAAGACCUUACAUUACAAGAACAACAUACAACUUUAUUAUUGAUCACCAUAGGCAAGCAAAGGGACAUAAACAAGAUUAUCUCCUUUAAAGAAAUGACAAACAGGAAUAGUUCCAGGUUUAAUUCCAAGCACACGAAACGAUGCAUGAUUAUGACUCCAUUGAGAAGUAUCCAUAUGACAAACAGCAACAGCUUCUACUCUUCCUCCAUUUUCACCUUUCAGUGAAAGCACAAACACUUUAUUCUCAGUCUGUUGGCUAUGGCAAUAGAACACCGUAUAUGCAUACGGCAUCGUAUGGCAAGCCACCAUCUUUGGAACGGGUAUCUCCUUAGGUUCUUGCAUUAUUGUAUAAUUAUCUAAAUGGGUCUUUGAUUUUAUAAGAUGUGUGGUUGUUAAAAUCUUGAAUUUUGUCUCUAAUCCAAAAGUUUCGCGUACAAAAUCAACCAUCGACUCUAAAGAAGUAGCACAAAUUUUUGUUUCUCCUUUGAUGGGUUUAAGUUCACAUUCUUUUAGAGUAUUUUCCAUGGCUAUGGCUUGAGGAGAGUUUGGAGAGAUGGAAAAUAAUUUAAGGAGGUAAGGAAAGUCUUUGUAUGAAAAAGGAAUGGAAUCUGCUUCUGCUUUAUGUAACAUAGGUGGAGUAGAUGAAGAAUCUUUCAUAGGAAAAUAAAUCGGCAUUUUCUUGCCUAUUUUGAGAUCAUCUAAAGUGAAAAAGAUCAUCAUUGAUGGAUCCAAGUGAUCCAUAUGAGAUGAUGAUGGACUUGCCUGUGCAUGAUCACUCGGAAGUCUCAAAACAUUGUUGCUCUUAGUUAUCAUCUCUCUUGCUCCCUCACUUCCAUGAGAACUCUGCAAAUUAUUUUAAUGAGCUAUUAAUGUAUUAUAAAUGGAAGUAAUGAAUUAAUUAUGCAGUGAAGCGUUUAAAUAGAUUUAAUUACCAGAACUAGAAGAAGAUGAAGGAGGAAGAUCUUGAUUGGAAAAUGUAUGCCCAUGGUUCUUUGAUCCUUUUUGCUCAGUGUAUUAUCUGUUCAAAUUUAGUGCUUCUUCUUCUACUUGAAAGAGAGAAACUUGAGAAAGGUCGACUAGAUCUUUUUCUCUCUCAUACAUUAUUUAUUUAUAAUUGAGAAACUUCUCAAUCAUAUUUUAUUAACGGCGGUGAUAAUUUCGUUUUUUUAUAAAAAAGUUAUUUCUAAAUUUCCAUAUAUAUAACCUUAAGUUUUUCUUGAAUUUCUAAAUAUAUUAGAUUUUGUUAUAUGUUAUUGAUAUUUUUCAAAAUUUUAAAGACAAAUCUUAUAAAGAGCAAGGAAUAAAUGUGAGAGUUCCACAAAACAGUUAUUACAUUUCUUUUUAUUCUAUUCUGCAAAUCAAAUAAGGCUUUAAGAUAGUUGAUACUGAGUUUGUGCUUUGUUCUUAUUCCAUCCAUUUGGAUUUUGUACACUCAAACAUAAUGUUUCUUUUUUCUUUUUUUAAAUUUCUCAUAUGUUAUGUAUAUAUUUAAAGAAAAAAAAAGGUAUAAUACUGACAAAUUGGUUUAGCUCUAAAGUAAUGUAAAUUCUCAAUAAUUAAGUUUUUCAUUUUUUUAAAAUUAUGGGUAUCUCUAUUUCAUUAAUUAAUGUUAUAGUGACAUGUAAACUGAAAUUUAAUUAUCUAAUUCUCACUGUAUAUAAAAUGUGAGAAACGAUUAACCAAUGAUAAAUAUAUAGUUAAUAAUACAAUGAUAGAUUAAUUAAUAUUGACAUAGUACAUAUACAAAUAGUAUUUUAUUAAUGAAAAAUGUAUAAAAAAUAGACAGAAAUAUAUAACAGUGUAACAUACGCAAAAAACAUAGAGAUAAAAAAAUUAUGUAUUUCUGAAAAUACAUGGAGCAAAUUUGUAUUUUAUGGCAUAAAAGCAUAAAUUUCCCAACAAUGUAUGUAUAAUACUCUUAUAUGUGUUUUUUUUUUUGCAAGUAGGCAAAAGGCCAAAGUUAAUAAUUAGACUCUUUUGUCAUUGUACAACUAAUGGAUUUUGGUAUCAGGCCCAUCAUCAGGUUUUUUUUUUUUUUUUUUUUUUUUUUUUAAUUUAUUUGUCAUCUAUAUCUUUUUUUCACAUCUGAUCCAUUACAAUUUUGAAUAUAUUCAAUAUUGGUUUAUUAUGCAAAAUAAACUAAUUAUAAGCCAAAUGCAUAAAUAUAUUCCUCCAUACUAAAAAAAGAUUUACACCUCAUAUUUUACAAAGAUUGUUUUACGCCUAAAAUUAUAAAUUUUAAUAAUAUUGUACAUAAUUAUACAUUAGUAAUAAUAGGUUUUUGGUACUUUUCGAUUUUGUAUACAGAAUAUUAAUCUGAAGUAUGAUUAUUACAAUUUUAGAAUAAUAAUUUUAAUAUUUUUCAACUAUUAAAUAAGUAUUCAAUUGAUCAAACUUUACAAGUUAGAAUGUCCAAUCAAAAAAUGCUGUAAAUUAAAGUGCUUAAUAGGUAUAAUUUUAUAAAUUAAAGUGUUCUAAAGAUAAAAUUAAAAUUUAAAAGUUUGAAAUUUUUUUUAUAUAAAGUUCAUUUAGCCUUAAUUAAAUAAUCAUACAUCAGUAAGAAUUGAAUUUGAGAUAUUGACUCAAUCACUUGGCUAACAGGCAUUUAGUUGAACUGUUUGUACCAACUGAUAUCGGAUGUUUAUAAUUGCUAGUUGGUGUUGAUAGUUAUUAAUUGAGAAUGUAUAAUUUUUUUAUAUUACUCUCAUAGACAAUAUAUGUUAUUUUUUUAAGGUAAAUAUAUUAUUUUUUUAUUUUAACAAAAUCGUACAUCUGUGCAUUGCUCAGAUUAUAGUAUAAUCUUUUAGUGAAAAUAUUAAAUACUUUAUUUAUUAAUAAUUUAUGAUAUAAUUACUCUCCUAAAAAAUAAUUUAUUUUGUCAUUCUAGCAUGGUAACCUUGCAUCUUUGCGGAUUUAAAUGAUAAUCUAGUUCUUUGCAUUGAAACCCAAAAUAAUCACGUGAAAGGAUAAAAAAAAAAAAAAAAAAAUUUUUUGAAAAGGUUGUUUGCUUGGGGAUUUCAUUUCCCUGUCACUGUAUUCUAUUUUUGCUUUUGGUUUUCAGUAUUUCAUACCCUUUUUUGGUUUGUAAAUUUGGUUUAUUGUUGUAGAUCAACAUUUUCUUUUUCUGGUUGAAAAUUGAUGAAAUCUAUGUGUUUCUCCAAUUAUUACAUGGUUAGCAAUAGCAACUUAGCAAACAGAGCAAUCCAUGUUAGUAAAUAAUUAGCUAGCUUUCUAAAUAUUUCAAGAAUAAAAUGAUAUAUAUUUCAAUAUUUAUUUUGCAUUCCCAAUUCUAAAGAUAAAACUAAAGUGAUGCAAACAUAUAUAGAAACAUAUGAUGCAAGAGAAACUUCUUACAUAGCUUAAACACACAAAGUCCGUUAUUCAAGUACAUCACAAAUCAUAUUCUAAUUUGAAAUGCAACAAACAUAAUGGUUCUCUCAUGAGGGAAAUGCAAUAGCUUGUCUUCAUUAAUUACUCUGGUAAACUAAAACGUCUGGCCCAUCAUUGGAAAAUGUCUUCUUUGCUUUGAGAGCUACAUCAUCAUGGUAAAUCGAACCGUCAUUUUUUGUCUCAAAAUAUGGCGUUUGUUCUUUAAGUGUAACAUCAUUGUGAUAUAUAGAUAGAUCAAGCCUCGGAUCAAACUCCUUUUUGAGACCUGCAUCAUUAUGGUGAUUUGUAAAAUCAUGUUUUGUCUCAAAAUAUAGCUUAUGUGCUUCAAGAUUGGCAUGGUUGUGGUUUUCAGUUGUGCGACAAUCGGCUUUCUCUUUUGUGGAGGUAGAAGCUUCAACGAGUGCUUGUAAUGCUUCUGGCAGUGGCUGAUCUUUCAUUUCCCUACUCCAAUAUUCACCCACAUCUUUUCUUGCAUUGACAGUGCUUGAGAACUGCAAAAUAAAAAUAAUAAAACUCACUCGUCAGUUUAUUUAAGAAAAAUAAAACUUAUAUCAUUAAUGGGUUUCAAUUAGCUAAUCUUCAUUGAUCCAUUAAUGUAUUUAAACACACAUACACAUUAAGAACAGACUUUUUUCUUUUUUUUUUUUUUUUUUUUUGAAAUUUCAUUACUAAUUAACAGACUAUUACUAACCAAGAUAAGUAAGAAGAUAGAGAGGAAAGCAAAAAGCAAUUUCAUCUUUUUUGCAGAGAAGAAAUUAGACAAUGUGUAGUGUUAUUUGAGUGGAUAUCCGUCGUCCCUGAUAUCGUCACUAUUUAUAGCCAAAAUCAAAGAAUGCAAAAAUAUAAAGAAAUUAUUAUGUAAGGUGCAAAUAAGGUGACCUCUCAUUUCAUAUUGUCCUUCUUGUCGUAAUACGACAAAUAAAUAUCAUAAUCUUGGGAGGUACCCAAAUCGUGUAUUAGGUACCCAAAUAACAUACGACGUAAUUACUAUAUGUAAUCUCUAGGUUUUAUUCAAAUAUACUAAUAAAACUUUAGUUUCUAAAAUUAUACUACGAAGUCUUUACAUUAUAAUUUCGUUACACUAUAGAGUCUAAUUAUUAGUUUUUUCGUUAAGUGACUGUAAAAUAUUAAAAGCACCCCUAAACAUAAUUAGUAUAUAAUCCUUACUAUUAGGUGAAAUACACUAAUAAAGACAUUAUUUUUCAUACCUUUACAUUAUUUAAUCCCUAUAUAUAGUAAUUGUGUUUAGGGUUAUUUUUAAUAUUCCACAACAAUUUAAUAAAAAAAAAACUAACCGCUGGACCUUAUAGUAUAAUAGAAUUAUAAUGCUGAGAUUAAAUAGUGUAAUUUUAAAAAUGAAAGUCUUUACUAAUGUAUUUGAUAUAAACCUAGGAACUAUAUAGUAAUUAACACAUAACAUAAUCUUAGGCUAAUUACUGUUUAGUCUUAUAUUAUAAUCAAAUAUAUAAAUUAGGAAUUUAGUUUUUUCAAAAUUCUAUUUUUUUUUCCUACCCUAAAACUUUUGCGAGUACAAGAUUAGUACAUUAUGAAUACUGGAAUAGAUUUGAGGUCAUUAAAAAGUACAAUUUUAUAAAUUAAAGUAUUCUAACAGGUAGAAGUGAACUUUAAAGGUUUGAAAUAUAUAUAUAUAUAUAUAUUUAAACAUCAGUAAAAAUUGAAUUUAAGAUAUUUUGAUUCCAAAACUCAACGCUUUAAUCACUUGGCUAAAAUACAUUUAGUUUAACUGUUUGUACUUGCUGAUAUCGGUUGUUUAUAAUUGCUAGUUCGUGGCUGAUAGUUAUUAAUUGAUAAUGUAUAGUUUUUUUUAUAUUACUCUCAUAUACAAUAUAUGUUAUUUUUUAAGGUAAAUAUAUUAUUUUUUUUAUUUUAACAAAAUCAUACACCUGUGCAUUGCUCAAAUUAUAGUAUAGUCUUUUAUUGAAAAUAUUAAAUACUUUAUUUAUUAAUAAUUUAUGAUAUAAUUACACUCCUAAAAAAUAAUUUAUUUUGUCAUUCUAGCAUGGUAACUUUGCAUCUUUGCGGAUUUAAAUGAUAAUCUAGUUCUUUGCAUUUAACCCCAAAAUAAUCACAUGAAAAGGAAAAAAAAAAAAAAAAUCUUUUGAAAAGGUUGUUUGCUUGUGGAUUUCAUUUCCCUCUGUAUUCUAUUUUUGCUUUUGGUUUUCAGUAUUUCAUACCCUUUUUUGGUUUGUAAAUUUGGUUUAUUGUUGUAGAUCAACAUUUUCUUUUUCUGGUUGAAAAUUGAUGAAAUCUAUGUGUUUCUCCAAUAUUACAUGGUUAGCAAUAGCAACUUAGCAUACAGAGCAAUCCAUGUUAGUAAAUAAUUAGCUAGCUUUCUAAAUAUUUCAAGAAUAAAAUCAUAUAUUUUCAAUAUUUAUUUUGCAUUCCCAAUUCUAAAGAUACAACUAAAGUGAUGCAAACAUAUAUAGAAACAUAUGAUGCAAGAGAAACUGCUUACAUAGCUUCAACACACGAAGUCCGUUAUUCAAGUACAUCACAAAUCAUAUUCUAAUUUGAAAUGCAACAAACAUAAUGGUUCUCUCAUGAGGGAAAUGCAAUAGCUUGUCUUUAUUAAUUACUCUGGUAAAUUAACAUGUCUGGCCUAUCAUUGGAAAAUGUCUUCUUUGCUUUGAGAGCUACAUCAUCAUGGUAAAUUGAAGCGUCAUUUUUUGUCUCAAAAUAUGGCGUUUGUUCUUUGAGUGUGACAUCAUUUUGAUAUAUAGACAGAUCAAGCCUCGGAUCAAACUCCUUUUUGAGACCUGCAUCAUUAUGGUGAUUUGUAAAAUCAUUUUUUGUCUCAAAAUAUAGCUUAUGUGCUUUAAGUGUGGCAUGGUUGUGGUUUUCAGUUGUGCGAAAAUCGGCUUUGUCUUUUGUGGAGGUAGAAGCUUCAACAAGUGCUUGUAAUGCUUCUGGCGGUGGCUGAUCUUUCAUUUCCCUACUCCAAUAUUCACCCACAUCUUUUCUUGCAUUGACAGUGCUUGAG